RNAcentral lists this long non-coding RNA (6147 nucleotides) under Malus domestica (apple). RNAcentral's name for it is "long non-coding RNA (MDOM_LNC016578)". Lineage: Eukaryota; Viridiplantae; Streptophyta; Magnoliopsida; Rosales; Rosaceae. The record is from RNAcentral.
GUAAAUAUUAUGUGGAUGGUCCACAUGAAUAGUUUGUUACUAUUUAUGCACAGUAUUUUCACUAUUCAUUUGUGGAAAAUUUGUAAAGUGAAUAGUGCUUUCUUUUGUUUAUAUAAAGGAAGAAUAGAUAGAUGAAUGUGAGGAGUUCACGGGAAAGAAAGAGAGGAAGGAAGGAAGAGGAAGAGAGAAAAUAGAGGAAGAUAAGAGGAGAUAAUAGAGAGAGUUAUCUUUGUACUCCUAUUAUUUCAAAUUAUAAUGAAAGCACCACUGCUGCCCCGAGGACGUACUCCAGUCACACUGACUGUAGAGGAACCUCGUAAAUUUUGUGUCUUGUUUCAUUUAUUCCACUGCACCCUCAGUCGAUUUUACAACACGUUAUCAGCACGAGAAGCUCUCAUGUCAGUGGAAAGCACAACGCCACAAAUCCUGUUCACCUCCUUCAGCUGGAAUCUCACAGAUAAGAAACAAUUUUCAUUUCAUCUUCAAAUCUCAGUACAAUUGAUUUACUUGAAGCAACUAUAUAUAUUGUUGUAUGACUGUAUAUCAUCAUUUGCAGAAGCAAAAGAGUACAUACUCAAAAUUCGUAAAGAAUUUGACAGCCAUGUAAAUAGCCUCGGAACUCUAACUUGCGGACCUCGGAUUGAAAUACUUUCUUCUUGAAAGUUGUUCGUCUGCUCAGUAUCUACAACAUAUCAAAAUUUCAGAAAAUGUUAACGGUGCGAUCGUGGCAGAUGUCUGAAAUACCAAACCAGUUUCCAAUUUCCGCAGAAAACUGGGCAGCCACCUUAUGAGUACCAAAACGCCAUUUCGAUAGCUCAAAUCGAAAUUGUUUCUUCACGAAAGUUGUUUGGUAUCCUCUUAUCCAUAUCAUACUAAAUUUUGAAUUAAAACUAACGGUUAGAUCUUCUCAUAAGUUGCAGACACUCUUGACUCCAAAACUUAUGGGAACCGUUUCGACUUUUCGAAACUCACCGGAGGAGGAACACCAAUUGGAACUUAUUGUUACUAUUAUUUACUGAGUAACCAAAAUGACUUCGAACUGUGAAAUAAUAAUAAAAAUAAAAGGGAUGAAACAAAAGAAGUGGCAGACCAAGAAAAUGAAAAAGCAAAACAUGAGGACUUAAUCAUUGUAUUUUCUGUUUUGGCAUAUUUAUGUGCAUGGUGUUGGUUUAAAGCCCAUGUCACAAGUUCUAUUUAUUUAAAGCAAUUUAUUUAUAGUGGGUAGAAUUAUUACCCUUUGCUUUAAAGCUUUGAUAUUUAUGUGAAUGGUGCUGAAUCAAAGCCCUUGUCACAAGCUUUAUUUACUUUAAAGCAAUUUAUUUACCAUGGACGGUUUUACCGCCUAUUGCUUUAAGUUUUGAUGGUGCUGAAUUAAAGCCCUUGUCACAAACUUUAUUUACUUAAAUGCAAUUUAUUCAUUAUGGCUGGAAUUACCGUCUAUUGCUUUAAUUUAUUUAUUGUACUUAUCUUUUGUUACUAUGAGUAUAUACAGGACCUGAAGUUCCUUGAUCAGAUCAGAACCUGCAGUUUCUUGAUCCUCAUCAUAUAAAAUGAUUGGACCCGAAGUUCCAUCAUACAAAAGGAUCUGGCAUGAAGUCCCUUGAUCCUGAAGAUCAGGACAUGAAGUUCCUAGAUGAGUACCGUAAGUUUGAAGUGCCGCAGUGCCUUAACUUAAUUGUAAUAAAACCCAUAAGAGUCUCAGUUUAUAGACUAUUAAAUAAGGACCAGAAGUUCCUUAUGUCCAUACUCAAAAUGGUUUAGCAGAAGCCUUUAUUAAGCGAAUGAAAUUGAUUUCUCGUGCUCUGCUCAUGAAAACGAAAUUGCCAAUUUUCUACAUGGGGACAUGUAAACUUUACAUGAUGCAUUAUUAAUUCGGUUGAGACAUGUUACCGACCAUCAAUACUUCUCAGUACAACUCGGGUUUGGAACCAACCAAACAUUAUACAUUUACGAGUUUUUUGUUGUGUUGUCUAUGUGCCUGUAAGACUACCACAACGUACUGAAAUGAGGCAUCAUUGCAGAUUAGGCAUUGAUGUUGAAUACCAUCUAUCAUUCAAUAUUUGGAAUUCUUGAUUGGGGAUAUGUUUACCGCAUGGUUUGCAUACUGUCAUUUUGAUAAGACAAUUUUCCUGCCAUUAGGGGGAGAAAAUAAUAUCGUUCCAGAAGAACGAUGAGAAAAUAUCAUUCCAAAAGAAUGAUGAGAAAAGACCGUUCCAGAAGAACGAAGAGAAUUUGUCUUAUUUUGAUUCACGAAGCAAUCAAUGAGAAAAUGAAAUAUGAAUAAUUGAAUGAUGCAACGAAAGUGAUGAAAUCAUAUAUACUUACUGCAAAUGUGCCUACAAGAAUUGAUGUCUCAGUUGGAUAAAAUAAUGAGACAGUAAAUGAUUUAUCUGUUGCACGCCUGAAGCAUGGCAGAUUUUUAGACUCAAAAGGUUCAGUUAUUCGAAAGAAGAAUAAUAUGGCACUACUGAACUAUUGCAUUCCCGAAGCAUAACUGUUGCAUGCCAGAAGCAUGACAGUCACCGCAUGGAUACACGUCCCAGAUAGGACAAUCCACAGACAUGGGAAUGUUGAUGUCUCAUACAUGAAGCAUAAUAGACAUAUAGGUUCCAAUGACUCAACUCCCGGAAGUGGAGAUUAAAAUCCAAGCUCUAUAACACUCAAGAGGAGGUUAUGAUCCACAUUCUCUCAAUUAUGACUAUCCUGGAAGAGAUAGCGUCAUGCCCUUGAAGAGGCAAUGGAUAUCCAAAGAAAUGAAAAGCUUUUAUGCAUGCGCAUGCACAUGAGAAUAUGGGAUCACGGAUUGAUGAUAACCAAUGGUAAUUUUGGUUUUUACAAGUAGCUACUAAAUUCAUCAAUGAGCUGUGUUAAUAUUGAGUCACGUUCUUUUGUUCGUCGACAAAAGAAAAAAUUAUUGGCCAAAAUGGAGAAAGGCAAUUCCAUUACAAAUUUUUGUAAGAACGUGGGCAAAUGAACCUAUAUAUAUUUGAAUACAAUACAAAUAGCCAAAGAAUGUUAAACCAAGGAGGUUAUAUAUGGGCAUUUGUAAUAUAGUGUAAUACACUUACAUGAUAUGACACAAGGUUGUAAACAAGUUCAUAUGAAUGGAGAAUUAUAUACGAAGGGUUGUGAGUCGCCCACAUUAUAUUUCCAUAAGUAAAUCCCUCAAGUAUACAUGGGAGCAAAUUGCUCUGUAUAAAUUCCAAAGGAAAAUGUGUCAUGAAGUGUAGAAAACCCUUGAAGGAUUCAAAUUGCUUGAAGUAAGCCUCUGAAGGGUAAAACAUAAAAUAUGUACUCAAUACCAAUGGAUGAUAUAAAUUGCCUUAGUGAGUACUAUCAUUAUGAUAUUGUUGCAACAUACUAAAAUCUCUUGCAAGAGUCAAUAACAUUAAAUUAUAACUCUUGAAGAGUUGAUGAUAUUAAAUUGGGACUCCUGAAGAGUCUAGAAAAAAUUAUAAAGUGUUGAAGGAAUUAUUGUCUCGAGCUGCAGAUCGAACAAUCUACCAACACGAAUCUUAUCCAUGAUAUUUAUGAUAUUAAAAGAACCAUAUGGUUUGAAGAUUAUGAGUUGAAUACUCAUAUGAUGAAGACACUAAGAAUAAUCAUUUAUCUUCGUGAGGGUAAAGAUAAAUUAAUAUUUGGUCCAGAAGUACCACAUCUUAGUGAAGUAUAUGCUUUAUUGUAUUUGGCACAAUACAUUGAAUGAAAUAAAGCUUAUUUAUUAAUAUCUCCAAGAAAUUACAGAUAUAUACAUACACAUGAGUUAAAAACAAACAAACAGGAUGGAGCCUUCACAAAGGUUGCUCAUGUGAAGCCUCAGUACUCGGAAGUACCCCAGAAGGGGGAGGCACUGGAGAUUGAUCAUGUGGCACCCCAGUACUUAGCAAAACACCAGAAGGGGAAGGCAUCAGUUGCUUUCGGAAUCUAGCAACGAACCUCUGGUGAUCACUUUGAAUCCGACUUUCGGAUUCCUGCAGUUGGACGAGCUUUCUUUUCAUGCUCGUAGAGUAACUAUUUGCAAGCACGUGUAACACCCUAUUCUCGUGCUUAAGCCCUCUGAUCUCUUGUUUAAGACUUGCCACUUCCGCCAUCAAUGAUUCAACUUGGCGAGUUUGAGCAAGUAGGCGUUGGCCCAUAUUGGACACUGAGCCAGCACACUGAACACUGAGAGCCAAUGAGUCUUGAACGGCCGACUCUUCAGACCGUUCUGAAAGGAUCUUGUUAUCCCUUGGAGUGAGAAGAUUCCUAGCUACCACAGUAGCGGUUAUGUUAUUCUUCAUCAUAGAGUCCCCAACCGUAAGAGGACCAUUAGAAGAUAAGAAGGACGGGCGCCAUAUAUUAUCCUGACGCUGCUCGUCUGUAUCACUCCUAAGACUCAAAUCUAAGCAAAUGUUAGAUGGGCAAGUCAUUUUUCAGAAAUGAUGAAGGAAAAACAGAGGUCAAAUAAAAUUUCAAAGGUGCAAGAUAGGGGAAAUUUCUACAAGCAGCAACUUUCUGAGCAUACUCUUGAACACAAUUGAUGUCUCUAUAAAAGAAGAGAGGCAGCAGAGCCACUUGUUCAAAGAUCGAUGAGGCACCGCUCUCCGAAUUUCAAAAGCCAGAUUUUCCUGAAUAAAAUUCGUUGGCAUUUUUCAGACGUAAUCUCAGCUUUUCAGAUAUCGCGUGCAACUUUGUCAAAGAUCUCUGACAAAGUUGAAAACGCGUAAAUCUUACUGUUCUAUUUACACCACAGUUGCUGACAAGAGUAAAAGCACAGCACCACCACUUGCUAUUGAGAAAUCUCUAUAUAUGUCGACAUCUGUUCUCCAUAACAAGGCAGACUCGCAACACUGCAAGAAUACCUAACUCUUCCUCAUCUCCGAGAAUGCAUCUUCAACAUAGCAUCUCGAAAUACUCAGUUUUCUUCCUCUCCGAGAAUACAUCUUCAAACAUGUCACACCAGAGCAAGAUUAUCACAUAUCUUCAGGGACCAGAGCAAGAUUAUCUCAUAUCAUGCAAUCUCCCUGUCCUUUCCUUUGUCCAUGUUCUUGCCUGCAAAGACAAGGAUAAGGAAAGCAAUAUGUCGGAACCUCCACUCAAACUCCCGGUAAGGAACCGAUUGCCUGGAACCUUUCCUGAUUGCUUACCUAGUAUUGCUCUCGAGUAGUCAUCUUCAACGGUUGGAGUUGGGUGUCCAGUCACCAAGAAGUGAUGAACCAUCCAAAUGCAAGGGUUUGCAUUCCACUUCUGCACCAGGGGACAAAAUCCUACAAGAGAAGAUGCCACAUAUGCAUGGGGGGAAAGCAGUGAAAAUACUACUUAAGCAAGGGGAGCAAGUAAGGAAAGUGAAAAAUGAUACAUUGGAGCAUGUGGAGACAAGCGCAACCAACACGUGCUGAUUCAUCCCCGACAAAGUCGAAGAAGCUCUUCACGGUACAAUUUCAUUCAAGAUCAAGCCCCGAAGUCCUUGAAGAAAUCACAAGUCCGAUUCAAGAUCAAGUGUCCACCACUUUUGAAUCAAAUUCCGCUCAAGAUAAAAGGAGUAAAUUCCGAUCUUCGAUGCUAGUCUAGCAGAAAGUCCUACAACCCAGUUCAAGAAAAAGGCUGUGGAAAGUUAACAAUAAGUAAAGCAACUCUUUUAGCAACUCUUCUUACUAAGAGACUAAAGCAGAACAAUCAACGAUCAACCUAAAUGAUUUGAAAUCAGGGGGAGAUACUCAUCAGGGGGAGCAUCCAAGACAGAUCAAGAUUUUAACGAGUCAAUCGAAGACUUGUGGCCAUCCAAGGGGGAGUGUUGUAAAUAUUAUGUGGAUGGUCCACAUGAAUAGUUUGUUACUAUUUAUGCACAGUAUUUUCACUAUUCAUUUGUGGAAAAUUUGUAAAGUGAAUAGUGCUUUCUUUUGUUUAUAUAAAGGAAGAAUAGAUAGAUGAAUGUGAGGAGUUCACGGGAAAGAAAGAGAGGAAGGAAGGAAGAGGAAGAGAGAAAAUAGAGGAAGAUAAGAGGAGAUAAUAGAGAGAGUUAUCUUUGUACUCCUAUUAUUUCAAAUUAUAAUGAAAGCACCACUGCUGCCCCGAGGACGUACUCCAGUCACACUGACUGUAGAGGAACCUCGUAAAUUUUGUGUCUUGUUUCAUUUAUUCCACUGCACCCUCAGUCGAUUUUACAAC